Molecule: ribosomal RNA, 253 nt
Filed under: uncultured bacterium
Lineage: Bacteria
Description: partial 16S ribosomal RNA
Rfam family: Bacterial small subunit ribosomal RNA
Source: RNAcentral
UACAGAGGGGGCAAGCGUUGUUCGGAAUUACUGGGCGUAAAGGGCGCGUAGGCGGCCUGCUAAGUCGAACGUGAAAUCCCUGGGCUCAACCCAGGAACUGCGUCCGAUACUGGAAGGCUUGAAUUCGGGAGAGGGAUGCGGAAUUCCAGGUGUAGCGGUGAAAUGCGUAGAUAUCUGGAGGAACACCGGUGGCGAAGGCGGCAUCCUGGACCGGCAUUGACGCUGAGGCGCGAAAGCCAGGGGAGCAAACGGG